Molecule: ribosomal RNA, 425 nt
Filed under: uncultured bacterium
Lineage: Bacteria
Description: partial 16S ribosomal RNA
Rfam family: Bacterial small subunit ribosomal RNA
Source: RNAcentral
GUGGGGAAUAUUGGACAAUGGGCGCAAGCCUGAUCCAGCCAUGCCGCGUGAGUGAUGAAGGCCUUAGGGUUGUAAAGCUCUUUCAGUAGGGAAGAUAAUGACGGUACCUACAGAAGAAGCCCCGGCUAACUUCGUGCCAGCAGCCGCGGUAAUACGAAGGGGGCUAGCGUUGUUCGGAUUUACUGGGCGUAAAGCGCACGUAGGCGGAAUGUUAAGUCAGAGGUGAAAUCCUGGAGCUCAACUCCAGAACUGCCUUUGAUACUGGCAAUCUCGAGUCCGGAAGAGGUGAGUGGAACUCCUAGUGUAGAGGUGGAAUUCGUAGAUAUUAGGAAGAACACCAGUGGCGAAGGCGGCUCACUGGUCCGGUACUGACGCUGAGGUGCGAAAGCGUGGGGAGCAAACAGGAUUAGAAACCCUUGUAGUCC